GGUUAAGUUAGAAAGGGCGCACGGUGGAUGCCUUGACACUAGGAGUCGAUGAAGGACGGGACUAACGCCGAUAUGCUUCGGGGAGCUGUAAGUAAGCUUUGAUCCGAAGAUUUCCGAAUGGGGAAACCCACCAUACGUAAUGGUAUGGUAUCCUUAUCUGAAUACAUAGGGUAAGGAAGACAGACCCAGGGAACUGAAACAUCUAAGUACCUGGAGGAAGAGAAAGCAAAUGCGAUUUCCUGAGUAGCGGCGAGCGAAACGGAACAUAGCCCAAACCAAGAGGCUUGCCUCUUGGGGUUGUAGGACAUUCUAUACGGAGUUACAAAGGAACGAGGUAGACGAAGCGACCUGGAAAGGUCCGUCGUAGAGGGUAACAACCCCGUAGUCGAAACUUCGUUCUCUCUUGAAUGUAUCCUGAGUACGGCGGAACACGUGAAAUUCCGUCGGAAUCUGGGAGGACCAUCUCCCAAGGCUAAAUACUCCCUAGUGAUCGAUAGUGAACCAGUACCGUGAGGGAAAGGUGAAAAGCACCCCGGAAGGGGAGUGAAAGAGAUCCUGAAACCGUGUGCCUACAAAUAGUCAGAGCCCGUUAACGGGUGAUGGCGUGCCUUUUGUAGAAUGAACCGGCGAGUUACGAUCCCGUGCGAGGUUAAGCUGAAGAGGCGGAGCCGCAGCGAAAGCGAGUCUGAAUAGGGCGUUUAGUACGUGGUCGUAGACCCGAAACCAGGUGAUCUACCCAUGUCCAGGGUGAAGUUCAGGUAACACUGAAUGGAGGCCCGAACCCACGCACGUUGAAAAGUGCGGGGAUGAGGUGUGGGUAGCGGAGAAAUUCCAAUCGAACCUGGAGAUAGCUGGUUCUCCCCGAAAUAGCUUUAGGGCUAGCCUUAAGUGUAAGAGUCUUGGAGGUAGAGCACUGAUUGGACUAGGGGUCCUCAUCGGAUUACCGAAUUCAGUCAAACUCCGAAUGCCAAUGACUUAUCCUUAGGAGUCAGACUGCGAGUGAUAAGAUCCGUAGUCAAAAGGGAAACAGCCCAGACCGCCAGCUAAGGUCCCAAAGUGUGUAUUAAGUGGAAAAGGAUGUGGAGUUGCUUAGACAACUAGGAUGUUGGCUUAGAAGCAGCCACCAUUUAAAGAGUGCGUAAUAGCUCACUAGUCGAGUGACUCUGCGCCGAAAAUGUACCGGGGCUAAAUACACCACCGAAGCUGCGGAUUGAUACCAAUGGUAUCAGUGGUAGGGGAGCGUUCUAAGGACAGUGAAGUCAGACCGGAAGGACUGGUGGAGUGCUUAGAAGUGAGAAUGCCGGUAUGAGUAGCGAAAGACGGGUGAGAAUCCCGUCCACCGAAUGCCUAAGGUUUCCUGAGGAAGGCUCGUCCGCUCAGGGUUAGUCAGGACCUAAGCCGAGGCCGACAGGCGUAGGCGAUGGACAACAGGUUGAUAUUCCUGUACCACCUCUUUAUCGUUUGAGCAAUGGAGGGACGCAGAAGGAUAGAAGAAGCGUGCGAUUGGUUGUGCACGUCCAAGCAGUUAGGCUGAUAAGUAGGCAAAUCCGCUUAUCGUGAAGGCUGAGCUGUGAUGGGGAAGCUCCUUAUGGAGCGAAGUCUUUGAUUCCCCGCUGCCAAGAAAAGCUUCUAGCGAGAUAAAAGGUGCCUGUACCGCAAACCGACACAGGUAGGCGAGGAGAGAAUCCUAAGGUGUGCGAGAGAACUCUGGUUAAGGAACUCGGCAAAAUGACCCCGUAACUUCGGGAGAAGGGGUGCUUUCUUAACGGAAAGCCGCAGUGAAUAGGCCCAAGCGACUGUUUAGCAAAAACACAGCUCUCUGCGAAGCCGUAAGGCGAAGUAUAGGGGUGACACCUGCCCGGUGCUGGAAGGUUAAGGAGAGGGGUUAGCGUAAGCGAAGCUCUGAACUGAAGCCCCAGUAAACGGCGGCCGUAACUAUAACGGUCCUAAGGUAGCGAAAUUCCUUGUCGGGUAAGUUCCGACCCGCACGAAAGGUGUAACGAUUUGGGCACUGUCUCAACCAGAGACUCGGUGAAAUUAUAGUACCUGUGAAGAUGCAGGUUACCCGCGACAGGACGGAAAGACCCCGUGGAGCUUUACUGUAGCCUGAUAUUGAAUUUUGGUACAGUUUGUACAGGAUAGGCGGGAGCCUUUGAAACCGGAGCGCUAGCUUCGGUGGAGGCGCUGGUGGGAUACCGCCCUGACUGUAUUGAAAUUCUAACCUACGGGUCUUAUCGACCCGGGAGACAGUGUCAGGUGGGCAGUUUGACUGGGGCGGUCGCCUCCUAAAGUGUAACGGAGGCGCCCAAAGGUUCCCUCAGAAUGGUUGGAAAUCAUUCGUAGAGUGCAAAGGCAUAAGGGAGCUUGACUGCGAGACCUACAAGUCGAGCAGGGACGAAAGUCGGGCUUAGUGAUCCGGUGGUUCCGCAUGGAAGGGCCAUCGCUCAACGGAUAAAAGCUACCCCGGGGAUAACAGGCUUAUCUCCCCCAAGAGUCCACAUCGACGGGGAGGUUUGGCACCUCGAUGUCGGCUCAUCGCAUCCUGGGGCUGUAGUCGGUCCCAAGGGUUGGGCUGUUCGCCCAUUAAAGCGGUACGCGAGCUGGGUUCAGAACGUCGUGAGACAGUUCGGUCCCUAUCCGUCGUGGGCGUAGGAAAUUUGAGAGGAGCUGUCCUUAGUACGAGAGGACCGGGAUGGACGCACCGCUGGUGUACCAGUUGUUCUGCCAAGGGCAUAGCUGGGUAGCUAUGUGCGGAAGGGAUAAGUGCUGAAAGCAUCUAAGCAUGAAGCCCCCCUCAAGAUGAGAUUUCCCAUAGCGUAAGCUAGUAAGAUCCCUGAAAGAUGAUCAGGUUGAUAGGUUCGAGGUGGAAGCAUGGUGACAUGUGGAGCUGACGAAUACUAAUAGAUCGAGGACUUAACCAU
RNAcentral lists this ribosomal RNA (2921 nucleotides) under Bacillus anthracis (anthrax bacterium). RNAcentral's name for it is "23S ribosomal RNA". It matches the Rfam family "Bacterial large subunit ribosomal RNA". Lineage: Bacteria; Bacillati; Bacillota; Bacilli; Caryophanales; Bacillaceae. RNAcentral also lists the same sequence under 1 other name. The record is from RNAcentral.